This 2645-nucleotide long non-coding RNA is filed under the name Panax ginseng (ginseng). RNAcentral's name for it is "long non-coding RNA (PGIN_LNC006952)". Lineage: Eukaryota; Viridiplantae; Streptophyta; Magnoliopsida; Apiales; Araliaceae. The record is from RNAcentral.
AAGAGAAGAAGAGAGCAAAAGAGAAAGGAAAAAGAAGAGAAUGGGAAAGAAAAGAAAAACCGUGAGGGAGAAGAGAAGAGAAGAGAGAGAUCGGUGGCUCUAUGAAGGAAGAAGAGGGAGAAAUCUCCAUGAGAAAAGGAGAAAAGAAGAAGAAGAAGAAGAAGAAGAAGAAGAAGAAAAGGUAUAAACUAAUUUCUUUCUUCCUAAGCUUUGUCUCUUUCUUUUUGUAAAUUGAUAAAAAAGGGGUUUUGAUUUGGAAGUUCAAACCCCUAUGAUCUAUGUAUUUUCCAUGGAUUCAAGUAUGGAUUUACUCAUUUUGGGUGUUGAUUUGGUUUGAAUCAAAAAGGAAAAGAAAAAUAAUUUUUCUAGUUUUGAACCCCAAAUUUCUAUGUACUUUGAAAAUCUACCGUUUUAAAUCUAUAACUCCUUUUUAUAAUCCGUCAAAUGGGGGUGAUAGAUAUAUGUGUUUACUAGUUAACCCAAGUGGUAGCACUCAAAAAUGUUGAGUUUUCAUGGGGUAGUGACUGAUUUUGCUAAAACAGUCCCGUUUUUGGUAGAAGGAAACAAACUAUUUUGGGGCAGUCUGAAACGAGGGUAUUUUCGUCCACUUUGUAUGAUUUAAAAAUUCAGGAAAAAUUUGGAGUGGUAAUAUCAGAAGUUUUGCAGGUUGUGUAAAAAUUUGAGAAUUUUUAGCCAUACGGUUUGAGAGUUAUGGAUUUUACGGUGAAGGACUAUUUUUAAGAAACCACCCGAAUAACUCUCUGUGUAUAAGUCCAAAAAUUACAAAAUUUGUACUGGAAGUACAUGUGUAUAGCAGGAGCAUACUGUAAAAAUUUCAAAAUUGUUGGAGUUAAUAUCGAUUUAUGAAAAAUCGGAGAAUAUUUGGCUAUUAUGGACUAUUUAAAUAUAGUAAAUAGAUUUUAAAAAUUCCGGAAAAAAUAUAUGUUCAAUAUGGAACUAUAUUCUGUCAAAUCCUAGAAAAGAAAUAUUUUUGGAACUGAUUUGAUAUUUUUCAUCUAAAUGAUGAUAAAUGGAUAAAUAGAUUUAAUUAAAUAUAUGAUGUCUAAAAAUAUGAAAAGUACGAUUUAUGACUUGAUACCCUUGAGCAUGGCUUAUGCAGGUUUUUGAUGAAAUUUUGGGUCGGGUGUAAAGUGUUGUGAUGUUUAUGGCAGUUUAGAAUGCUUAAACAAGUUUAUUAAUAAAAGGAAAACAAUUUAAUACAAUUGUUUAUUAAUGUGAUUAAUGACUUAACUUAUUGUUAUAUGACUAAUAAUAUUGGAUUAAGAUAUUAUUAGUAGUAUUUGAAUGUAAUGUUAUUAAAAGGUUAAUAACCUUAGCGUAAAAUAUUAUUACAUAAUUAAUAAUAUUCGACGGAAGAUUAAAAUAAGAGAUUUAUGGUAUUUUUUCAAUGUAAUUGUUGAAAUUGAUAUUCAAUGAACUAUAUUAUGUGUUUGGGCAAAGGAUAGAAAAAUAAUAAGUGAUUUAGUGUUUUUCAUGAAAAGGAUAUGGAAUUCAGCUUGCUGGAUUGAAAAGAAGCUUACUGAAAUUGAAGGAUUUAGAAUCCAGCUUGCUGGAUUGAUGGAUUGGUGAAUCUAGGCUUGCUGGAUUGCAAUCUAGUUGCUAGAUUUGGAAUCCAGUUAGCUGGAUUGCAGUUUAGGUUGUUGGAUUUGAAAUCUAGUCUGCUGGAUUGGCAGUGUUGUUGCUAGAUUUAGAAUCCAGGUUGCUGGAUAAGUAUUUGACUUAUUAGAUGUUAAAGAAUAACUUAUGAAAUGAUAAUGAGAGUGUUAAAUCAUAAUGGAUAUGAUAUAGUGAUUAAAGAAUUAUCAAAGAAUGAUAAUAAUACUGAUCGAUGUGUUAAGUUGUUAUCUAAUAUUUGAAUAAGUGUUAGAUAAUCUAUGGAUAAAGUAAUAGUAUUAAGAGCUACCAGAUAUGAUAUGCUAACUGAAAGAUUAAUCUUAUAAUUGAUAGGUCUUUCAUAAGAGAUUACAUAAGAUUGCUUAGCGGUAAUCAGCAGUGCAGACAAGUUUUCCUAACUCAAACUUGAGUUGUAUGUUCAAAGCAUGUUAGUGAAUAGUUGUUGUUGAUUAUUCACGUCUAUACUGAUUUUUGAUUCGCACAUAGUGCAUGUUGCAUAUGUUCAUCAGGUAUGAAAGGCUGAUCACCUUCAUUAUCUUAAGGUUCAGUUAAAUUGUUUAUGGUCAUUGUUGACCUUCAAACAUUAUUGAUUCAAUCAUGCAAUUCUUGAAACUUGAUUCAUGUUAUUUCACAAUUAUUAUAUUGUUGAAAACUUGAAAGCUUAUUCAUUCUUUUCAAUCAUGAUAUAUCUUCAUUGUAUUUAAAACUUGCUGGGCAAAUUUGUUGCUCACCCUUGCUAUAUCAUGAUAAAAUUUCCAGAUUUAGAUGAAAGCUCGAAUAAAGACAGAAGCAAAGUCAAAGUGCAAAAUUAAAUUACGUUGCAGUUAGAUCUAUUAAAUUUUCUGACGAAAAUAGCAUUGUAAAUCUUCUAAGAUAUUGAAGGUAUGUAAUAAGUUAAGGUUAAUAAACCUGGGAAAUUGUUAUAGAAUUAUGUAAAAUAAACAAUAUGUGUUUAUUUGUUCCGUAUUAGAUGAUAGAAUAUGUAUGAUGAUGAAGUAUCGUAACGUACC